GUGCCAGCAGCCGCGGUAAGACGAACCGUGCGAACGUUGUUCGGAAUCACUGGGCUUAAAGGGCGCGUAGGCGGUUGAUCAAGUCUGGGGUGAAAUCUUUCGGCUUAACCGGAAAAGUGCCUUGGAUACUGGUCAGCUGGAGGGAGGUAGGGGCAGUUGGAACUUCCAGUGGAGCGGUGAAAUGCGUUGAUAUUGGAAGGAACGCCGGUGGCGAAAGCGAGCUGCUGGACCUCUUCUGACGCUGAUGCGCGAAAGCUAGGGGAGCAAACGGGAUUAGAUACCCCGGUAGUCC
This 292-nucleotide ribosomal RNA is filed under the name uncultured bacterium. RNAcentral describes it as "partial 16S ribosomal RNA". It matches the Rfam family "Bacterial small subunit ribosomal RNA", at positions 505 to 796 of the family's 1533-position model. The record is from RNAcentral.